Molecule: transfer RNA, 74 nt
Filed under: Streptomyces cyanogenus
Lineage: Bacteria; Bacillati; Actinomycetota; Actinomycetes; Kitasatosporales; Streptomycetaceae
Description: tRNA-Arg
Source: RNAcentral
CACCGCGACCGGCACGGCGUACCGGGCGGCCUUGCGCCGGCCGGAGCGCGGGUUCUCGUCCCGCGCGGCGCCCA